AUGUAUCUGUUGACAGACCUGUAGCAAUUGCUUAUAUUCUCCAAGAUUUCCACUACAGAUGUGAGAAAAAAGUGUCCUCCCACUUUCUGCCUGUCUGAUUGUAGCAGCAGAGACUGAAUGUAAGAAUACUAGA
Molecule: small nucleolar RNA, 133 nt
Filed under: Sorex araneus (European shrew)
Lineage: Eukaryota; Metazoa; Chordata; Mammalia; Eulipotyphla; Soricidae
Description: Small nucleolar RNA SNORA31 (ENSSARG00000018850.1)
Source: RNAcentral